This 346-nucleotide ribosomal RNA is filed under the name uncultured bacterium. RNAcentral describes it as "partial 16S ribosomal RNA". It matches the Rfam family "Bacterial small subunit ribosomal RNA", at positions 338 to 681 of the family's 1533-position model. The record is from RNAcentral.
CCUACGGGUGGCAGCAGUGAGGAAUAUUGGUCAAUGGACGAGAGUCUGAACCAGCCAAGUAGCGUGAAGGAUGACGGCCCUAUGGGUUGUAAACUUCUGUUAUAAAGGAAUAAAACGAGGCACGUGGGCCGUUUUGCAUGUACGUUAUGAAUAAGGAGCGGCUAACUCCGUGCCAGCAGCCGCGGUAAUACGGAGGUUCCGAGCGUUAUCCGGAUUUAUUGGGGUUAAAGGGAGCGUCGAUGGGUUGUUAAGUCAGUUGUGCCAGUUUGCGGCUCAACCGUAAAAGUGCAAUUGAUACUGGCAGUCUUGAUUACAGUUGAGGUCGGCGGAUUUCGUGUUGUAGCGG